UCUCUACCUAUCGUGUCCUGACUUGGACGCGAAAAUGGUGUUUGAUGGCAGAAAAUUAUGAGAAAAUCAACUGCCCAAACAACCCUAAUAAGGAUUAAGGGAUGAUUGAUUGGAAUUAUUAAAGUAAUACAUUCAGGAGAAUAAGGAAUAUAGUCUGAACGGAAAUAGUAAAAGAGAGCUGGAUUAUGUAAUGAAAAAAAACAAGCUGACUUUCAAGUAGGUUAAGCUUAUGUUGAUGCAACAUAUGAAUUGUAUUGGUCCCAAUUUUGCUGGAUUUAGAGCUUGACGGAUAUCAAUACAUGUGUCAUGAACAUCAAUAUCAGUUUCAAGAGCGACUCCAAUAUCUGAAGGCAGCAGUUCUUGGACCAAGAAAAAGUUAGCAUCUGCCUGCGUCAAGUCAAUAGCCACAUCUGAAACAUUCUGCUUUUUACAAAAAAAAGUGCAACAGAGUUUAUGAAAUUUGAGUGGUGUAUUAUAGAAGUGUGACUAAGUGUACCUCAUGCACAACCAGAGCUUGUGGUACAAAAUUUGUUUGAAGCUCAUUUCUCGCU
Molecule: long non-coding RNA, 551 nt
Organism: Physella acuta
Lineage: Eukaryota; Metazoa; Mollusca; Gastropoda; Physidae
Source: RefSeq, a predicted model, not a curated record